Molecule: ribosomal RNA, 366 nt
Filed under: uncultured bacterium
Lineage: Bacteria
Description: partial 16S ribosomal RNA
Rfam family: Bacterial small subunit ribosomal RNA
Source: RNAcentral
GCUACGGGGUGCUGCAGUGAGGAAUAUUGGUCAAUGGACGAGAGUCUGAACCAGCCAAGUAGCGUGAAGGAUGACUGCCCUACGGGUUGUAAACUUCGUUUAUAAAGGAAUAAAGUGAGGCACGUGUGCCUUUUUGUAUGUACUUUAUGAAUAAGGAUCGGCUAACUCCGUGCCAGCAGCAGCGGUAAUACGGAGGAUCCGAGCGUUAUCCGGAUUUAUUGGGUUUAAAUGGAGCGUAGUUGGGUUGUUACGUCAGUUGUGAAGGUUUGCGGCUCAACCGUAAAAUUGAAAUUGAUACUGGCAGUCUUGAGUACAGUUGCGGUAGGCGGAAUUCGUGGUGUAGCGGUGAAAUGCUUAGAUCUCACG